GAUGAAGAACGAAGCGAAAUGCGAUACGUAAUGUGAAUUGCAGAAUUCAGUGAAUCAUCGAAUCUUUGAACGCACAUUGCGCCCGCCAGCACUCUGGCGGGCAUGCCUGUUCGAGCGUCAUUUCAACCAUCAAGCCCCAGGCUUGCGUUGGAGCCCUGCGGCUGCCGCAGCCUCCUAAAAGCAGUGGCGGGCUCGCUAUCACACCGAGUGCAGUAGAUUACUCUUCGCUCAGGGCGUGCAGCGGGUUCCGGCCGUGAAACCCCCUACUUUUAAAGGUUGACCUCGGAUCAGCUAGGAAUACCCGCUGAACUUAAGCAUAUCAUAAGCGGAGGA
This 333-nucleotide unclassified non-coding RNA is filed under the name soil metagenome. RNAcentral's name for it is "partial contains 5.8S ribosomal RNA, internal transcribed spacer 2, and large subunit ribosomal RNA". The stretch from base 1 to 120 matches the Rfam family "5.8S ribosomal RNA", at positions 35 to 154 of the family's 154-position model. The record is from RNAcentral.